AAGACUAUGCUUUCAGGGAUCAUUGCUGUAGUCCAUGACUAGAGAAGUUUCUCUGAAUGUGUAGAACACCUGAAACCACGAGGAGGAGGCGCAGCGUUCUCUCCAGAGUGUGAAGCCAGCUCUUGGUGUCGCUUUGGCGACUGUCAUUUGCCAUUGAUGAUUGUCCUUCUUUUCCUUUGGGAGACUAAGAGGGAGAGAACGCCAUCUGAGUGGG
Molecule: small nucleolar RNA, 214 nt
Organism: Camelus dromedarius (Arabian camel)
Lineage: Eukaryota; Metazoa; Chordata; Mammalia; Artiodactyla; Camelidae
Gene: U3
Rfam family: Small nucleolar RNA U3
About the family: Small nucleolar RNAs (snoRNAs) are involved in the processing and modification of rRNA in the nucleolus. There are two main classes of snoRNAs: the box C/D class, and the box H/ACA class.
Source: Ensembl